UGGGGAAUAUUGGACAAUGGGGGCAACCCUGAUCCAGCAAUGCCGCGUGUGUGAAGAAGGUUUUCGGAUUGUAAAGCACUUUCGGCGGGGACGAUGAUGACGGUACCCGCAGAAGAAGCCCCGGCUAACUUCGUGCCAGCAGCCGCGGUAAUACGAAGGGGGCUAGCGUUGCUCGGAAUGACUGGGCGUAAAGGGCGUGUAGGCGGUUUGUACAGUCAGAUGUGAAAUCCCCGGGCUUAACCUGGGAGCUGCAUUUGAGGCGUGCAGACUAGAGUGUGAGAGAGGGUUGUGGAAUUCCCAGUGUAGAGGUGAAAUUCGUAGA
This 322-nucleotide ribosomal RNA is filed under the name uncultured bacterium. RNAcentral describes it as "partial 16S ribosomal RNA". It matches the Rfam family "Bacterial small subunit ribosomal RNA", at positions 355 to 694 of the family's 1533-position model. The record is from RNAcentral.